UUAUGGCUCAGGAUGAACGCUAGCGGCAGGCUUAACACAUGCAAGUCGAGGGGCAUCGGGAGUAGCAAUACUUGCCGGCGACCGGCGCAAGGGUGCGUAACGCGUGAGCAACAUGCCCGUAUCAGGGGGGAUAAUCCAUGGAAACGUGGUCUAAUACCCCAUAGUAAUUAUGUAAGGCAUCUUAUAUAAUUUAAAGCUUUGGUGGAUACGGAUUGGCUCGCGUGACAUUAGCUAGAUGGUAAGGUAACGGCUUACCAUGGUUACGAUGUCUAGGGGUUCUGAGAGGAAGGUCCCCCACACUGGAACUGAGACACGGUCCAGACUCCUACGGGAGGCAGCAGUGAGGAAUAUUGGACAAUGGAUGGAAAUCUGAUCCAGCCAUGCCGCGUGCAGGAAGAACCGGCCCUAUGGGUUGCAAACUGCUUUUGUAUGGGAGCAAUAAGGGCUACGCGUAGUCCGAUGAGAGUACCAUACGAAUAAGCACCGGCUAACUCCGUGCCAGCCGCAGC
Molecule: ribosomal RNA, 509 nt
Filed under: uncultured bacterium
Lineage: Bacteria
Description: bacterial SSU rRNA
Rfam family: Bacterial small subunit ribosomal RNA
Source: RNAcentral